GGGUUAUUUAUUUACAUAUAUGCCAUGCAGUUAUUUUGUACAGCAUAUACGAACAGCCUUACCGAUACUGUUUUCACUUUAAAAUGAAGAAAGGAAGCUAAGUAAAAUUCUGGAACUUGCCCGAGGAGCUUGCAUUAAAACUCGGGUUAGACUGAUCUGUGAACUGGGCUACUAGCCAGGAAUCUUACCCAUUUGAUUCCGUAACAUUAACUUUAAUAUUAUGGCAAGGUGAUCUCCUUACAUAAGCCAGUUUGGGCACAAAGUCUCCGUAUUUAUAUCAUGCUUUAACUUAAAGGAUCACAGUCUCAGGCAGUGGAUUUCCUAUGUAUUAGGACGAUUUCAGGUGCAACUGUUAGAAAUUACACACUUAUUUAAGCAAACACACACACACAUAUCCACAUAUAUAAAACUGUAUAAAACUCAAUUGUGUAUCCCCAACUAGAAUUUCUUUUGCUACUUUGCUACCAGUACCAACCCAGCAACUAGACAGCACCUAGAGGAACUGAUAACUGCUCACUCAAGACAACUUCUAAAAUACUGGUAUAGAGACUGAAGAGUAGCGUAAGACAAAUGACAACUCAGAACCAGUAAAUGUAUCGUUUCCACAUAGAAGUACAAUUUAUCCUUUCUGAAAAUUGAAAGAAUAAUAGAGGUAUUCAGGGUCACAGAGUCAUUAAGUCCCUGAAUCUUCCAUUUCCAACCACGUAAAACUAUGUGGACUCAUUCUCUUCCACCAUUCUUCUGCUCUUUGCUCCCCUCCCUCCCCACUAGCUCUUGUUAACUCCAUGAAAACCAGAUCUUUCAUUCUAAGCCCACGGGGAAAACAGCAGCCAUUUAUCAAUGUUUAUAACAUGGCUAGGUUGAUAUCCUGUUCCAGUUGGAAAGGAAUAGGCAAAGAAGAGCAGUCAUGAAGCUCCAGCUCCUACUUGUCAAUGCUGCAGAGCUGACGAAAGAUUUCUGUCAGGUGAAAGUGACAGUGGAGAGUGGGAUAGGAUCAGUGUUUUACAUGAUUGUGUUUUUUAUUCUGUCCCUUGAUGUUUAGACUUGAAUGACUGAUCCAAACUUUUUGCCAAGUAGGCACACAUAAGUAAGCUUCAACAGGAACACAUCUUAAACCAUUUCUCCAGAUGUUGCUUCAUUGACUCUUUAACUUGGCCUUCCUUUCCAGAUCUUUCUUAUCCCCUUAUUGUUGACCCUAUAUUCCCAAUUUAGUACUUUUUUUUUUCUCCUUUAAAGUAAAUGUUUAUUGGGAAAGUCAAGUCUGCUGAAUUUACAAUGAUUUGCUAUUAAAUCAUCAUGAAGCUUAAAAUCCCCAGAGGUCAUGCUCAUCUUUUCAUCACACACAUUGAUUUUCAUUUUCAGGAGGCCUAGACAGGCUCUGAAAAGUAGUUCAUCUCACUGCGUUUCACAUCAGUAGGGCCAGGAAUGCAACCUAAAGCUCCUGGUAGAGCUCUACCUAAAGAGGAGAUCAUACCAAGAUCAAAUCUUAAAGUCCUUUUGACAUUUCUUAUAAGGCUGAUCUAGUGGUGAUGAAGUCCUUCAGCCUUUGCUUGUCUCGAAAACUCUCUCCUUCAAGGACAACUUUGCUAGCCACCUCCCCAGAGAACCUUGUAACAACAGAAGAUCUGUCCUUCUCUUCAUAAUAGAGUACAUGUCUCCAAAGAACUGAAUUAUUCUGCCUGUCAGAUUCUUUGUUUCCUGCACUUGAAUAGUAAAAGAUGA
Lagenorhynchus albirostris (white-beaked dolphin) is the source of this 1722-nucleotide long non-coding RNA. RefSeq lists it as uncharacterized. The transcript has 3 exons. Lineage: Eukaryota; Metazoa; Chordata; Mammalia; Artiodactyla; Delphinidae. The record is from RefSeq and is a predicted model, not a curated record.